GCCCCGGUCGUAUAGCCCGGUCUAGUAUGGCAGGCUGUCGCCCUGCCGACGCGGGUUCAAAUCCCGCCCGGGGCGCCA
This 78-nucleotide transfer RNA is filed under the name archaeon. RNAcentral's name for it is "tRNA-Asp". It matches the Rfam family "tRNA". Rfam says of the family: Transfer RNA (tRNA) molecules are approximately 80 nucleotides in length. The record is from RNAcentral. RNAcentral also lists the same sequence under 2 other names.